GUGAACGCUGGCGGUAGGCCUAACACCUGCAAGUCGAACGGCAGCACAGUAAGAGCUUGCUCUUACGGGUGGCGAGUGGCGGACGGGUGAGGAAUACAUCGGAAUCUACUUUUUCGUGGGGGAUAACGUAGGGAAACUUACGCUAAUACCGCAUACGACCUACGGGUGAAAGCAGGGGAUCUUCGGACCUUGCGCGAUUGAAUGAGCCGAUGUCGGAUUAGCUAGUUGGCGGGGUAAAGGCCCACCAAGGCGACGAUCCGCAGCUGGUCUGAGAGGAUGAUCAGCCACACUGGGACUGAGACACGGUCCAGACUCCUACGGGAGGCAGCAGUGGGGAAUAUUGGGCAAUGGGCGCAAGCCUGAUCCAGCCAUACCGCGUGGGUGAAGAAGGCCUUCGGGUUGUAAAGCCCUUUUGUUGGGAAAGAAAAGCAGCAGGUUAAUACCCCGCUGUUCUGACGGUACCCAAAGAAUAAGCACCGGCUAACUUCGUG
Molecule: ribosomal RNA, 491 nt
Filed under: uncultured bacterium
Lineage: Bacteria
Description: partial 16S ribosomal RNA
Rfam family: Bacterial small subunit ribosomal RNA
Source: RNAcentral